This 720-nucleotide ribosomal RNA is filed under the name uncultured prokaryote. RNAcentral's name for it is "bacterial SSU rRNA". It matches the Rfam family "Bacterial small subunit ribosomal RNA", at positions 28 to 766 of the family's 1533-position model. The record is from RNAcentral.
GAUGAACGCUGACAGAAUGCUUAACACAUGCAAGUCGAUUCAAGUUACCUUCGGGUAAUGAGGAUGGCGGACGGGUGAGUAACGCGUAAGGAACUUGCCUCUUGGUCUGGGACAACUGUUGGAAACGACAGCUAAUACCGGAUAUUAUGAGAUUCUCGCAUGGGAAACUUAUGAAAGCUAUAUGCGCCAAGAGAGAGCCUUGCGUUCCAUUAGCUAGUUGGUGGGGUAAUGGCCCACCAAGGCGACGAUGGAUAGCCGGCCUGAGAGGGUGAACGGCCACAAGGGGACUGAGACACGGCCCUUACUCCUACGGGAGGCAGCAGUGGGGAAUAUUGGACAAUGGGCCACAAGCCUGAUCCAGCAAUUCUGUGUGCACGAUGAAGGUCUUCGGAUUGUAAAGUGCUUUCAGUUGGGAAGAAGAAAGUGACGGUACCAACAGAAGAAGCGACGGCUAAAUACGUGCCAGCAGCCGCGGUAAUACGUAUGUCGCAAGCGUUAUCCGGAUUUAUUGGGCGUAAAGCGCGUCUAGGCGGAAAAAUAAGUCUGAUGUUAAAAUGCGGGGCUCAACUCCGUAUUGCGUUGGAAACUGUUUUUCUAGAGUACUGNAGAGGUGGGCGGAACUACAAGUGUAGAGGUGAAAUUCGUAGAUAUUUGUAGGAAUGCCGAUGGAGAAGUCAGCUCACUGGACAGAUACUGACGCUGAAGCGCGAAAGCNUGGGG